UAAACAGUGCAUCAAAGUCCAAAACUGUGUAAGUGAAGUUAAGAGGAAACAAAACGCCGACACCCGACUGUUCAAGAAACCCUCUGGUUACAAAAAGGUAGCUUAUUUUCAACUCGACCGCGGAGCUUCUCCGUCCCUCCACAAACAGAUCCGUAGAAACACACGCUGCUGUCUUCUGUUCAUUGCAAAGGUGAAACGAAUAAGAUUAAAACGAACAAAGAGAAACUUCUGUAAGUGUACCAUGAAGGUUUUACUCCACAGAUAGGGUAGAGAGCGAGAGGGGAGAGAGGGAGAGGGACAGCGAAUGGGAACACAAGGCACGCAAGAAAACAGCUCUGAAGAAACGGUAAAGUGGACACUUGGACAUUCAAAGUGCGAGCGCCCAGCGACUGGUUGGUAUUACUUAGGAUCGGCGGUUUCUCAGUUUGGUCCGUGUUCGAAAGAAACGGGGGAAAUCAUCUAACCGCAAGUAUAUGAGGCUCUGUUGAUGAUCUGUGAUAGGCUGGCCUUCACGGCGGAUAAAGUCAGAUUCCCAAAGAUGAUCUGAUAUGUGGCUUUAGGUGGAAAAACACAUGCACAUGGUUUGAUUACGCUUUUACACACAUACUGAUACAUAGAAUGUAAAAAAGCACCUGUAUCUGUGUUUACAUGUCACCCUCCUGCACUGUACAUUGAGCGUCGCUCUAUCAGAUCUAUCUGUCUGCAAAGGAAAGAAUGCAGCCAUCAUUCCUCAAAGCAAGACCCUUUUUCACAUAAUAGUAAAAAAACUGUAUAUUUUGAUAAAUAGGGUUAGGUUAUUACAGCUUUAUUUAAAAAAAACAAGGAAUCAGAGAAACAGCUUGUUUUCAAAAGUGAAAGAGGACCGAUUAUAGGCAGCUGUGGCACUCCAAAUGUUCCUCUCCACCCCAUGGUUAGGACAGCAGUUAGUGAGGGACUUCCUGCAUGGAAAGUUGUGUAUGUUUUCCUUCAGUGAAUUGAACAUCCUGCAGAUCUUAAAUUCCAGUCAGCAGUAAACUCUCUGACCUCUGAGCACAAAAUUAGGCACAUCAUAUAAGCAAGAGACAGCAUAGAAAGGAAGGACUGCAAAGCAGGACGAAAUGACAGCGAUAAAAGGAACAAUGAGAGAUUACUUCAGUGCAAUUUUUCUUAAUUACUUAUUUUAUGAAUAGGAAAGUUGAUCAUUAAGCUAAUUUUGGUACCUGGUGGCAAACAUAUUUUGCCUUAAAGCUAAUCACUGGAAGAAAUUAAUUUAUCAUGACAAAUGCAUGCAACAAGAGGGUCAUCUAAUACUGUUAGUCCAUUCUAUGUUUGAAAACACAGUGAUGCCACAAAAGUGUCAGAUUUCAUCUACUAUUACAUGGACAGCAUUGUCAUUUCCAACAUAUGCGGUGAACCCUGUCUGCCAAUGUGUUUAUUGAGCUAUUAUCAAUUGACUGAUGAAACAAACUGCUCACCAGUCAACAUAUGUUCCUGAUUUGCUGGAUUUAUUUGAUUUAAAACCAUGUGUUUUCUGUUGUGAAAUGAUCCUGGAGGUUUGUCACAUAGCAUUCUUUGUGGAUCACAAGCAUUGGAUUGUUGGUAAAACUAUAAUUUUACAAUUGCAAGUUUUUUUUGUUUUUUAGGAUCAGAAGCGGUGGGGGAUAUUCCUGAAGAACAGAUGGGAAUUUUAUCAAUGGAGUGUAUUUUCUUAAUAUACUGUAUAGGGCUUCAGACAGACUAAAUAUGAAUUGAAAUGUGUUGUUUAUUCUCUUUGUACCACAUUCAUAAUAUAUAUUUAAUAGCUAAGCAUUCAAUGUUUGUGAUCUGUCAUUUUGUCCUGAAAUAUGCCCAUUUUGCUAGUCAUCUAUCAGAAAGAGCUCAAAGGUAAGUGGCCUCCCUUUAGCCUUAAGGGCCUGUACUUUCUUAUUUGUUUACCUGCACCACAGGUGCACAACAACUGAUAAUUUCAGAGAUCAUAAAUACUAAAAUAAAAGAAUGUGGGUUUUUUUUCAUGCACAAAUUGUAACAUG
Molecule: long non-coding RNA, 2009 nt
Organism: Danio aesculapii
Lineage: Eukaryota; Metazoa; Chordata; Actinopteri; Cypriniformes; Danionidae
Exons: 3
Source: RefSeq, a predicted model, not a curated record